Molecule: ribosomal RNA, 249 nt
Filed under: uncultured Rubritalea sp.
Lineage: Bacteria; Pseudomonadati; Verrucomicrobiota; Verrucomicrobiia; Verrucomicrobiales; Rubritaleaceae
Description: partial 16S ribosomal RNA
Rfam family: Bacterial small subunit ribosomal RNA
Source: RNAcentral
UCGAGAAUCAUUCACAAUGGGGGAAACCCUGAUGGUGCAACGCCGCGUGGAGGAUGAAGGCCCUAGGGUCGUAAACUCCUGUCAUAGCAGAGUAAGAUAUAUUAGUUAAUAGCUAGUAUAUUUGAUAGUAUGCUAAGAGGAAGGGACGGCUAACUUCGUGCCAGCAGCCGCGGUAAUACGAAGGUCCCGAGCGUUAUUCGGAAUCACUGGGCGUAAAGGGAGCGUAGGCGGCGCGGUAAGCCAGAUGUG